UCUUCAAAACACACCAUCACACGCAUAUUUGUCUAAACACUCUGCACAAUCAAAAGAAAAUACAUAAUAAUCACACCAACAUCCAUUUCUUGAGCACAAAAUCAUCUUGCUCAGCUGGAAACAAGUGGCAUGGAUUGAGCCACAUCAUCGCUAAACACCUUUGCAAUUCUCUCCGUAGGCACCAAAGGCAAAUAAGAGGAAACUCGGUAUCCCUUCUCAAAAGUGCUUAGUACCGUCUGGUUGUACUUUUCAGAGCAAUAAGCUGCAGUUGGCACAACAACUUGUGCCACUUGAGGGAAGAGUGGCAGCUGAUUGAGCCUGCGCCACGCGGUGACUGCACAUUGUUCUGCUUUUGGUUCGUACUUGGAGUAAAGCUCCUUGGCCUUGGGUUCAUACUUGGUGUACAAAGUUUUUGCCAAUCCAGAAGCAGUUUCCUUCACACCACUUUGAUGAACUUCAGACGCCACAGCACGAGCAGCCACAGGGGCCUCUCGAGCUAC
RNAcentral lists this unclassified non-coding RNA (500 nucleotides) under Hevea brasiliensis (rubber tree). The record is from RNAcentral. Lineage: Eukaryota; Viridiplantae; Streptophyta; Magnoliopsida; Malpighiales; Euphorbiaceae.